ACAAUGGGCGCAAGCCUGAUGCAGCGACGCCGCGUGCGGGAUGACGGCCUUCGGGUUGUAAACCGCUUUUGACUGGGAGCAAGCCCUUCGGGGUGAGUGUACCUUUCGAAUAAGCACCGGCUAACUACGUGCCAGCAGCCGCGGUAAUACGUAGGGUGCAAGCGUUAUCCGGAAUUAUUGGGCGUAAAGGGCUCGUAGGCGGUUCGUCGCGUCCGGUGUGAAAGUCCAUCGCUUAACGGUGGAUCCGCGCCGGGUACGGGCGGGCUUGAGUGCGGUAGGGGAGACUGGAAUUCCCGGUGUAACGGUGGAAUGUGUAGAUAUCGGGAAGAACACCAAUGGCGAAGGCAGGUCUCUGGGCCGUCACUGACGCUGAGGAGCGAAAGCGUG
RNAcentral lists this ribosomal RNA (387 nucleotides) under uncultured Bifidobacterium sp. RNAcentral describes it as "bacterial SSU rRNA". It matches the Rfam family "Bacterial small subunit ribosomal RNA", at positions 368 to 763 of the family's 1533-position model. The record is from RNAcentral. Lineage: Bacteria; Bacillati; Actinomycetota; Actinomycetes; Bifidobacteriales; Bifidobacteriaceae.